This is a small nucleolar RNA of Echinops telfairi (small Madagascar hedgehog), 146 nucleotides long. The record is from Ensembl. NCBI's taxonomy places the organism in Eukaryota, Metazoa, Chordata, Mammalia, Afrosoricida, Tenrecidae.
GGUCCUAAGGAGUGACUUUGUGAUUAUGGAAAAUAUAAUAGAUUGAAGUGUUUAUGCUUGUGGGAUAGAUUAACAAUGCCUUGAUGUGAAGGGAGAGGAUUGUUUUUUUUGUCCUCAUCCUAUAUGAAAUGGCUGCACAUUAAAAA